UUUCCGUAGGUGAACCUGCGGAAGGAUCAUUAGUGAAGCUCGGAAUGCCAGUCCGGUACUGCAGCUGCCCAGCAAUGGGAUGUGCUCGUCUGGGCUGGUGUCCCUUCUCUAUUCCACCCCAUUGUGAACCAAGCGUGCGAGCAGAAGAGAGAUCGGAAGCUCGCAUGCUCACUUUAACAUACCCCUGAUUAAGUAUCUGAAUGUACCUUGCGUUAACUCGCACAAAUACAACUUUCAACAACGGAUCUCUUGGCUCUCGCAUCGAUGAAGAACGCAGC
RNAcentral lists this unclassified non-coding RNA (278 nucleotides) under uncultured fungus. Its description in RNAcentral is "sequence contains ITS1, 5.8S rRNA gene". The stretch from base 230 to 278 matches the Rfam family "5.8S ribosomal RNA", at positions 1 to 49 of the family's 154-position model. The record is from RNAcentral. Lineage: Eukaryota; Fungi.